Molecule: ribosomal RNA, 301 nt
Filed under: uncultured bacterium
Lineage: Bacteria
Description: partial 16S ribosomal RNA
Rfam family: Bacterial small subunit ribosomal RNA
Source: RNAcentral
CAGCAGCCGCGGGAAUACGAAGGGUGCAAGCGUUACUCGGAAUUACUGGGCGUAAAGCGUGCGUAGGUGGUGGUUUAAGUCCGUUGUGAAAGCCCUGGGCUCAACCUGGGAAUUGCAGUGGAUACUGGGUCACUAGAGUGUGGUAGAGGAUAGUGGAAUUUCCGGCGUAGCAGUGAAAUGCGUAGAGAUCGGAAGGAACAUCUGUGGCGAAGGCGACUAUCUGGGCCAACACUGACACUGAGGCACGAAAGCGUGGGGAGCAAACAGGAUUAGAUACCCCCGUAGUCCCUGUCUCUUAUAC